This 21-nucleotide non-coding RNA is filed under the name Caenorhabditis elegans. The record is from RNAcentral. Lineage: Eukaryota; Metazoa; Nematoda; Chromadorea; Rhabditida; Rhabditidae.
UGAACUGGACGUUUUUCGAAU